CACUGAUUCAGCCUUUCUGUUUGGUCAUCACUUUGAGGGUGAUAGGUAGAAGAAUAAUUCAGAGAAGUGCCUAGCAAUUUUAAAAACUCUUUCCAAAAAUUACUUGUAAACAGUUUAUCCCCUAUCAGAGACAAUUGUUAAUGGAGUCCCAUGCAACUUGAAAAUAUUAUCUAAGAAUAUUUUAGCCACCGCAGAUGCAGAAAAUGGAUGACUUAAGGCCAGGAAAUGUCCAUACUUAGUAAGCCUGCAAACUACCACCAAUAUGACAUCCUUCCCUCCAGAUCUUGGCAACUGCUCUAUAAAAUCCAUUGAAAUAGGCUGCCAUGCUUGGGAAGGAAUAGGUAGAGGCUGGCCAAGGUAGGCACAGUUCUCCCCUUUACAUCUUGCACACACAUCACACUCUUUGAUCUAAUCCACUACUGUACGCAGUAACCCAGGCAAAAAUGCCUUUUAAUCCUCAUAUAGGGAGCUUGAACUCCUGAAUGACCACCUAUUGGAGAGGCAUGGUACUGCUGCAGCAAUGAGUUCCUCAAAUUAGUGCCGCUACCUACAUGAAUUCUGCACUUAUGAUACAAAAGUCCAUUCACCAACUUGUAAUCUGGAAAAGCAGUGGCAUCUAAGGAUAGUUGAGUAAUUAACUCUUGAGCCUUAGUGUCCCCUUGAUAACUUUCUACUAAAUUCUACAUCCAAGUAGGGCUUAUUGUAGUAAUUGAAUUCAAAUAAUCUUGUUGUGAAGAUUCAGCAGUGUCUACUCUUCUUGAGUGAGCAUCAGCUACUUUAUUCUCCACUCCCCUCCUAUAGAGAAUAUUAUAAUUCAGCCCUAACAACUUGGAUAUACCCUUCUGCUGUAGAUUAGCGUCAAGUCUUUGUUCAAGGAGAAAUUUAAUGCUCUCAUGAUUAGUCUUAAUAUAGAACAGCCCUUGCUCUAAAUAAUGCCUCCAUUUGGAGACAACAAAUGUGAUUGCCAAAAGCCCCUUUUCAUAUACUGAAAGGGACCGAUUUCUAGGGCCAAAAGCUCUUGAAAUAAAAGCUAUAGGAUGCCCUUGUUGUUGAAGGACUGCCCCCAUUCCAUAAUUUCUUGCAUCUGUCUCCACAACAAAUGGUUUAGAAAAAUCAGGAAGUGAUAACACAAGUGCUGUGGACAGCCUGUUUCAGCAUUUUAAAAGUCUGUUGAGUAGCUGAAGUCCAUUGAAAUGCAUUUUUCUUUAACAAGUCUGGAAGUGGCAUACAAAGACUCCCAUAAUUUUGAAUGAACUUCCUGUGGUAGCCAGUGAGCCCCAAGAAACUUCUAAGCUCUUUUACUAACUUAGAAAUGGGCCAUGAAAGCAUAGCUUGAAUUUUGUUGGGAUCUAUUGAUACUCCCUCUCCAGAAAUUAUAUGGCCUAGAUACUCAACUUGUGACUGCCCAAAAGAACAUUUUGACAAUUUAGCAUACAGCUGUUGGGACUUAAGUAUCUCAAACACUGCCUCUAGGUGCUUCAAAUGCUCCUCCAUGGUAGGGCUAUAGAUUAGGAUGUCGUCAAAGAAGACUAGGACAAAUUUCCUAAGGUAAGGUUUGAAAAUGUGGUUCAUUAGGCCUUGGAAAGUGGUUGGGGCAUUUGUUAAACCAAAUGGAGUUACUGUAAACUCAAAGUGACCAUGGUGGGUUUUGAAAGCUAUUUUUGGGAUGUCUUUUGGUUGCAUUUUUAUUUGAUAUUACCCUACUUGUAGGUUUAUUUUGGAGAAUAUCCAUGCCCCAUGUAACUCAUCAAGAAGGUCAUCAAUCAUUGAUAUAGGAAAUUUGUUUUUAAUGGUCAAAUCAUUUAGUUUUUUAUAAUCUAUGCAAAAUCGCCAAGACCCAUCUUUUUUCUUUCUAAAAGCACUGGUGAAGAAUAAGGACUGGAACUAGGCUGUAUGACCUUAGACUCAAGCAUUUCUUAUACUAAUUUUUCAAUUUCAGCUUUUUGGAAGUGAGAAUAUCUAUAGGGUCUGAUGUUAAAUGGUUGGGCAAUAGGUUGCAAGUUAAUUUCAUGCUUAUAAGCUCUAAAUGGAGGCAAUGAUUGAGGAUCUUGAAAGAGGCAUUGAUACUUAUCUAAUAGCUGAUGUAUUCCAGUUUUCUCCAUGUCUGCUACCCUUCCAGAAAUGGAAAAUAAGGAUGCUGCAGCUGCUGGAACAUCAAUACAGAACAGAGGAGUUUGAAAGUCCUUGCCCCCCUUAUGCAUCGGCUGGUGGAAAUCAUCACAAGGAAUUAGUUUGCAGGUGUUAUUGACUUCAGAAACACCUCGCAACCUGACCAGCUUCCCAUCCUUCCUCAUAGUUAUACUGGAAUCCUCAAAAUCAAACAGUGGAGGAUUAUAGUUUCUCAUCCAAUCUACCCCCAAAAUUAUAUCAAAUCCUCCCAACUAUAAAAUUCUGAGAUCAAACACAAAUGCUAUCUUCUGGAUCUGCCAUUGAAAUUGCUGACAAAUUACAUUACUCAUCACUUUUCUUCCAUCUGCCACAGUAAUAGUGAUUGGAUUUGUUUCCACUAAAUCCAAUUUUAGUUCUUUUGCAACUCUCUUAUCCUUGAAACUAUGAGUGCUCCCACCAUCCACUAAAAUUAAUAGCUGUCUAGCCUUAUAUUUCCCUUGCACCCUUAUAGUACCCUUUUCUUGCUUUCCUUCUAUGGCAUGGACAGAAAGGACUGCUCCUUCAUUCCCCAUUUCCUCACCUUGAGAUACUUCAUGCCACUUUUCCUUCCUUUCCUCCUGUUCUUGAUUCAGUUCAUCCACAUUCAAGGCCAUUACAGUCUUUUGCUUACACUGAUGGCCUGGAAAAUACCUCUCCCCACAUCUAAAACAGGGUCUAGGUUGUCUUACGGUAGUUUGGUUGGGUUGCAAAUUAGUCUUGACUUGGUUUUGAUUCAUUGAAGAUUGACUUUUAGCUG
Molecule: unclassified non-coding RNA, 2905 nt
Filed under: Hevea brasiliensis (rubber tree)
Lineage: Eukaryota; Viridiplantae; Streptophyta; Magnoliopsida; Malpighiales; Euphorbiaceae
Source: RNAcentral